RNAcentral lists this unclassified non-coding RNA (193 nucleotides) under plant metagenome. RNAcentral's name for it is "partial contains small subunit ribosomal RNA and internal transcribed spacer 1". The stretch from base 1 to 46 matches the Rfam family "Eukaryotic small subunit ribosomal RNA", at positions 1786 to 1831 of the family's 1831-position model. The record is from RNAcentral.
AAGUCGUAACAAGGUCUCCGUAGGUGAACCUGCGGAGGGAUCAUUACCGAGCGAGGGCCUCCGGGCUCGACCUCCAACCCUUUGUCGUUACAAUCUCUGUUGCCUUGGGGGCGACCCGGCCUCCGUGUCGGGGCCUCCAGUGGACUACCAAACUCAGCGUCUUUGCGUCGGAGUAUAAGUAAAUCAAUUAAAA